Biomphalaria pfeifferi is the source of this 1287-nucleotide non-coding RNA. The record is from the annotation of a GenBank genome assembly. Lineage: Eukaryota; Metazoa; Mollusca; Gastropoda; Planorbidae.
UUUCAAAAUAGAUAAAUCUAUGAAUUUAUUGAUGGUUAUUAUAUACACAAGUGAUAUGACACAUUGGCCUCUUUCCCCAGCACUUCAAAGACCAAAAAGCGAGUAGAGCAAAAAGUGAAAACAAAAAUCUGUUCAGAUAUUUUUUUUUUCACAUAAAAGGAAAUUGAAAACAAAUUAGACAAACUCUCGAACAUUCUUACUGCCAACCAUUGAGACUUGGCUUGUGUUCUCUCAUUCAGACACACUUUUCAUAAAUGCUUAUCAAUAAUUUACACAUUAAAAAAAUAUAUGAAAGAUCCCCAAGUUUCUAAAACCUAAAGCCUUACAAAUAUACAAUCAUUAACACUAGCCUAAUUAGAUACAAGAGUAUUUGAAAUCAACAGUUAAAAUGGAACAAUUAAAUCUGGACAAAAGAAAGUAGCCCUCAGGGAUUUAACUUUCUCUGAUGGAAAGAAAACCAAACAUACAAAAAAUAACUUCCAUUAUUUAACCAUGCUAUUUAAAAAAAAGUGUUAAAGUGACAGCUCUACUGUCUUGUGAUACCAAUUCUUUGUGGGAACAAAAACUUAGGCUGAGAAUAAAUAGGUUGUUUGUUAAUUUUUCAAAACAUAAAAUGAAAUACAGAAUAAUAAAAGAAUACAGUAUAAAUCAAAUAGACAUGUUAUUUAAAUUGGCAUGACUUGUGUUAAUUCUAGUCACUUUUGAAGAUUUUAGCAUCUCUAGCAACCAGUUUUUUGCUUCAUGUAGACACAAGCUUCUGACAAUCCUUCAUAAUUAAUCCUUACUAGCCCCUGCACAAAAACGUAAGUUUCCAAUGUGAUGUCUGAAGUGCAAACACUAAGUAAUUUGUUCAAAUGAAAAGGAGCUCCGUAAAUGUCUUAGUUGGUAACUUCAUUUAUACAUUGGAAGGAACGAAAAAUAAACACUUGAUUAGUCCUACUGUAGCUAUGACUGUGGCUAGAGAUAAUGGACACAUAAAAUCAAGGUUAAGUCAAUUCAGUUCAGACAGGCUGCCAACUGAAUUUCUCUACAUAACUUCAAGUUUUUAUGCACAUCACUUUAAGUGCUUUUACACAAAACUUUAAUAUACACUUGAUUUUUUUUAUUAAAAUAAAUAGUUUACACAAUUUUUAAAAUAUUUAUACAUUGGACAAUUUUCUCUAAAUAUCAAGAUCUCCACAAGACUUGAACUAUAAAAAAAAAAUGAACUUAUAUUUCUUGUUUAUUUGAUAUACCUGUACUCUAAAAAAUAGAAAAUGGUAACUAUAUUACUUGGGGGGUGGGGGG